CAACACAACCACGAGUUAGCAGCUAGCUUCAAAUGGCGAGGCCUUCCUACAGUCAUCACGAGUAACCAUGCCUGCUGCCUUAAGAGUUGUUAAAUCACUGAAUCCUCCAUCUGACCAGUCGGUUGAGUGUGUGUCUGCAGUUGAUUCACAUCAGCCCGAUCUUUAUCCCGAGCUCAAGAGUACUAAUGACAGACUUGAUGGUGAGGACGAGGGAACCAGGCACCAGAG
Long non-coding RNA from Thalassophryne amazonica, 228 nucleotides. RefSeq lists it as uncharacterized. NCBI's taxonomy places the organism in Eukaryota, Metazoa, Chordata, Actinopteri, Batrachoidiformes, Batrachoididae. The transcript is spliced from 3 exons. The record is from RefSeq and is a predicted model, not a curated record.